UGACUAAAUACUUUUUUGCCCCACUGUAUGUAGUACAUUAGAUAUUUCAGUUGUAGCUGGUAUCAAGUUUGAAUGAAAGGUUUAUAGAUCCUUAUAAGGGUUAUAGUACCUGGUUAUAUUGCAUAAGAGUAAGGGAGGAUAAAUAACUGCGCAUUUUUAUUAUUUAAAUUGAGUGAUUCGAACUGACGUAUGUUUGUAAGGUUUGAGUGAUUCAACCGUAUAUGUUUGCAGGUUGGAGUGAUUCAACCGUAUAUGUUUGCAGGUUGGAGUGAUUCGAACUGACGUAUAUUUGUAAGGUUUGAGAGAGUCGAACCGUAUGAUUGUGGUACAUUGGGUAUUAAGUCGAUGUACUAAUACCAAGUUUAUAUGACCUUCGGGUAAAUAACAGGUGUGAGACCUAGGUUAUGUUUUGAAACGGUAAAGGAGAAGUGCACGGUGUUUACUAGACAGUGGCUAGAUUGGGACACAUUCUAAGGCAGCACUCAAUUGAACCUGAUAAUUUAUAUUGUAUUCAAAUUAAACAAGUAAUUGAAAUACAUUAAUAAAUGGCUAACCAAGAGGCAGAGAAUGUGUUGAAAACAUUGAAAUCAGCAUUAGAGGCCAAUGGAGGAAAAGAGGGAAAAGAUUGGAGAAAGAAAGGAGAAAUUACACAGAGGAUGGAUAAAAGAGGGCAGUAUUGCCGCGCCCAACGGGCUCCCAGUCGACGGGGAGCCUGCUUAAAUACUGGUGACAUAGACUAAAAUUCAUUCUGAUUGUAAUUCAAAUAUUUAUAGGUUUUGCAUCAUGGGGAACAAUGAAAGGCCCGCAAAGUGGAUUGCAGGCUGAGUUUAUUUUAUGUUAAAGGGACAGUGUACGUUCUUCACAGUUGUGUGUGUCUAAUGGCAGGGUUUUUAAGAAGUAUUUUGGGGAGAAAAUUUGGAGGAAGAUUGAAUGAGUUACAUGAGACAUUGAGUAAAUUUAAAACUAAUGAUUGGAGGGAGUACAUUUUCAUUUUCCCAGAGACAUGAUAUCUUAAGGGGGUACACUCACAUAUGAAAUAUUAUACGUUUUUAUUUUCUGAGUCUUAAUUAAAUAGGUGAAAUAUUUUGAUAAAGGAAUGUUGUUUAAUAUAGUAAGAAACACUUCUUUGGAGGGGUGGUAUGACUUAUGACCUCCAUUGUAACUUUCCUUUGUGGUCUGAUCAGCCUCAUUGGAAAGCCAUUUGGAUGGAGAAUCUAGGGUCAUUUGUAAUAGUGAUAUUAAGGUAAUUUAAUACAAAAAGACAGUGAAAUUUACAUUAUAGUGUCAUAUUUGAUGAAUGUGGUGUGAAAAUUAGCUAGGAUAAGUUUGAAUUAUGGUCGACUCAUGUUAAGUAUUUGGGACAUAUUUUGAGCCAACAGGGCUGGGAAGAAAUUUAGAUAUUUGUGUUUGGUUUUAACACCUGUGUACAGGAGUACCUGUGUAAUGGGGGAGGGUGUCCAUAUGGGAAUUACAUGAUAACCAACUUGGGAGUGUUCUGGGAUUGGAGAAGUGGGUAUCCUUAUAGCAUAGGGGAUCCCACAAAGGUGGAUAGGUUUUCCAUGAUAUGGGGGAAACCUGGGAGCACUGUUGAACUCUGUAAAGGUGAUGAAAUCCUACUAACCAUGAAAACUAUUAAGCUCUCUGAUGCAGGCACUUACACCCUCGGACUACAAAGGACCGGGACAGGCACGAUGGGUGUGUUUUCUAUGAAGGUGCUGCCAAAACCACAGAGGUCCCAGACGAACCAGAGCCAGACACACUCCUCUACCACCCCUGGACCGAGCCUGCCACCCACCACCACUGUGUCAAAUCCCAUUCAGGCCUAAACCAAACUAGUGGUCUGGCCGAUGUGUGGUGGAUAUGUGGACCCAAAAGAAUACUGAGACCCAUUCUUAGAGGAGACUGACAAGUCCUGAUGGUAGUAUAUCUAAGGCCCUUAGUGGGCUUGAUGCACUAUCUGCUGAGAUGAGGACCAUGGCGGGGGUGGAGGAGUCUGGACUGUUCUCUUGGUUGGGAGCCUGGUUUGGUAAGUACACUGGUAUGGUGGUUACUGGAUUUCUGACCCUAAUUCUUGUAUUUUUAUUAUUGAUGUGUUGUGCUGCUUGCAUCAUACCGUGUUUUAAGAAGUCUGUUACAGAUGUGGUGAAGGCUUCAGGCAUGAUGCCUUUGCUUGAUGCUCCAGUUGGAGAUGCUGAUACUGAAUCAAGCUUUCAGGGAGGAUGGGACUGAUUGAGGAUGACCCAUGGUAUGCUGUGGGUGAGGUAGUAGAAUAAAUAUUACACCACCACAGUUCCUUCUUUUACAUUUUUGUUUUAUGAUACGUUUUCUUUUCAGUAUGUUUGUUCUCCCUGUUGUGAAGGUUUGGAGUCCCUGGGUGGCAUGGAGCCCACCUGGUACAGGAUAGGAGUAGCUGAGAGGACCAGAUGGUUUAUAAUAAUGCUUUACUCUGUUUUCCAUGACCAAAGUUUUAUCCUAUAUCUUACAGUCAAUAAACAAUAAAGUUUGAUCCUGUUUUUGAUAAGUGACACCCUUAUGGGUGUCAAAAGGGGGAGACAAAAGCAUAUAUCACUUGUUGAUUUUUUAUUUAAUUUUUUUCUUGGUUGAUUUUUCUUUUCUUCUGUAAAAAAAAAAUAAUAAUAAUGUUUUAUUAAUAAUAAACUUUGUAUUAUUUUCAUGAAAUGCUAUUAACAUAUUACUAUGUUGGGACCACUAAAAUAAAGGACAAUGAGUGACACCCUUGUGGGUGUCAAAAGGGGGAAUCAAAAACUCCAGUUUAUAUAUAUGUUAAUCAACAAAGGGAUGUGCAUCACUUCAUAUAUUCACAAAAUAAAGGUUUAAAGUUCCUGGGUUCAUCAGCAACCUAGUAUAUCGGAUGGUGUGGUUACACCACACAGGGGUGUAAAAAGGGGGAUUAUGAGGAUUCUGUGUUAUGCACUAUAGCCCGUUACCAUAUUAUGUGAUUGAAUAUUAUCUGCUGUUGGCUUGUGUGGAUGUAUGGAUGUAUGUAUGUGUUAUGCAACAUAGCUGACUUGAAACAUUGUUAACAGUUUCAAGGCCAUGGGCCUGUCUCAUGAUGGA
Molecule: long non-coding RNA, 3078 nt
Organism: Oncorhynchus tshawytscha (Chinook salmon)
Lineage: Eukaryota; Metazoa; Chordata; Actinopteri; Salmoniformes; Salmonidae
Source: Ensembl